RNAcentral lists this ribosomal RNA (425 nucleotides) under uncultured bacterium. Its description in RNAcentral is "partial 16S ribosomal RNA". It matches the Rfam family "Bacterial small subunit ribosomal RNA", at positions 354 to 796 of the family's 1533-position model. The record is from RNAcentral.
GUGGGGAAUCUUGCGCAAUGGGCGAAAGCCUGACGCAGCCAUGCCGCGUGAAUGAUGAAGGUCUUAGGAUUGUAAAAUUCUUUCACCGGGGACGAUAAUGACGGUACCCGGAGAAGAAGCUCCGGCUAACUUCGUGCCAGCAGCCGCGGUAAUACGAAGGGGGCUAGCGUUGCUCGGAAUUAUUGGGCGUAAAGGGCGCGUAGGCGGACAGCUUAGUCAGAGGUGAAAGCCCAGGGCUCAACCUCGGAACUGCCUUUGAUACUGGGUGUCUUGAGUAUGAGAGAGGUGUGUGGAACUCCGAGUGUAGAGGUGAAAUUCGUAGAUAUUCGGAAGAACACCAGUGGCGAAGGCGACACACUGGCUCAUUACUGACGCUGAGGCGCGAAAGCGUGGGGAGCAAACAGGAUUAGAAACCCCAGUAGUCC